RNAcentral lists this ribosomal RNA (253 nucleotides) under uncultured bacterium. RNAcentral's name for it is "partial 16S ribosomal RNA". It matches the Rfam family "Bacterial small subunit ribosomal RNA", at positions 524 to 776 of the family's 1533-position model. The record is from RNAcentral.
UACGAAGGGGGCUAGCGUUGCUCGGAAUCACUGGGCGUAAAGGGUGCGUAGGCGGGGCUUUAAGUCAGGGGUGAAAUCCUGGAGCUCAACUCCAGAACUGCCUUUGAUACUGAAGAUCUUGAGUUCGGGAGAGGUGAGUGGAACUGCGAGUGUAGAGGUGAAAUUCGUAGAUAUUCGCAAGAACACCAGUGGCGAAGGCGGCUCACUGGCCCGAUACUGACACUGAGGCGCGAAAGCGUGGGGAGCGAACAGG